RNAcentral lists this ribosomal RNA (594 nucleotides) under Minutisphaera aspera. RNAcentral describes it as "eukaryotic LSU rRNA". The stretch from base 219 to 372 matches the Rfam family "5.8S ribosomal RNA". The record is from RNAcentral. Lineage: Eukaryota; Fungi; Ascomycota; Dothideomycetes; Minutisphaerales; Minutisphaeraceae.
CAUUAAAAGUUGCUCGAGGCGGCCCCAGGCAUCGCCAGGUGGCCGCUUAGACAUCAACACCCUCUGUAUAUCUACCGCGUUGCUUUGGCGGGACGGCAGCCAGCAGCCCUGCUGGGAAGCUGUCCGUAGGGCCUCUCCAAGGCCCCGCGAGCGCCCGCCAGAGAACCGUCAAACUCAUGUUAAACCGUGGUGUCUGAGCUUUACAAGCAAUAAGUUAAAACUUUCAACAACGGAUCUCUUGGUUCUCGCAUCGAUGAAGAACGCAGCGAAAUGCGAUAAGUAAUGUGAAUUGCAGAAUUCAGUGAAUCAUCGAAUCUUUGAACGCAUAUUGCGCCCCUUGGUAUUCCGAGGGGCAUGCCUUUUCGAGCGUCAUUACAACCGUCAAGCUCUGCUUGGUAUUGGGCUUCCGUCCCCACGCGGGCGGGCCUCAAAGUCAUCAGCGGCUGAGAGAACGGCGUUCUAGCGUAGUAGAAAUUAACUCGCCAGGGACCGGCCUCAGGCAGCUGUCAAACCCGCGCCUUUGCGCACAUCUUAGGUUGACCUCGGAUAAGGUAGGGAUACCCGCUGAACUUAAGCAUAUCAAUAAGCGGAGGA